RNAcentral lists this transfer RNA (72 nucleotides) under Camelus bactrianus (Bactrian camel). It matches the Rfam family "tRNA". Rfam says of the family: Transfer RNA (tRNA) molecules are approximately 80 nucleotides in length. Their secondary structure includes four short double-helical elements and three loops (D, anti-codon, and T loops). Lineage: Eukaryota; Metazoa; Chordata; Mammalia; Artiodactyla; Camelidae. The record is from Rfam by way of RNAcentral. RNAcentral also lists the same sequence under 2 other names.
GGAGGGUAAGCUUAGUGGUAGAGCGCAUGCUUAGCAUGCAGGAGGUCAUGGGUUUGAUCCCCACUGCCUCCA